Aegilops tauschii subsp. strangulata is the source of this 1294-nucleotide non-coding RNA. The record is from RefSeq and is a predicted model, not a curated record. Lineage: Eukaryota; Viridiplantae; Streptophyta; Magnoliopsida; Poales; Poaceae.
CGACGAGAUCAUCAAGAAUCAGUGAGCACACAAACCCAAACCACCACCAGAUUUGUUUUUCUUGUGUAUGUAUUGGUGGGUGAUGCAGGGUAUCCUGUGAUGUGCUGCUUAUAGCAAUAUCGUCUUAGCGCUAGCAAACUACAGUAGUUCUGUGAUGCAGAGGAUCUCGGAUACAACCACGCUGCCAUUUGCUAUGCACUACCUACGUUCGCGGAUAAUGGAGGAGCUGGAUACUUCGCACCUGACCGAGAGGCUGCUGCAAGGGUGGAGCGGGCUGGACGACGCUAAAGUAGUCAUCUUCGUCGGCCCCGUCACUGCGUACGCAUACUCCUUCAAUUUUUCCCUCCUACUGGUGUUGUGAUCUGGAGAAGCUCAAGUAGUCAUCUUCGUCCAUCACGUCAUUGCAUACGCAUACGCCUCUGAUUUUUGACUCCUGCUCAAAGGAAUAGGAACGUUUCCCGCAAAAAAAAAAGGAAUAGGACUGUGCUCCGCCCAAAAGACAAAAGCAAGACAAUGCAGACAAUAAAAAUCCAGCACCAACAAUGAAUAGCCGGAGUAAACAAAACAAGCAGACCAAAUCGUGUCGGCCCUCGAGGAAGGGUUGCAGUGUCGAGGAGCAGCAGGCAUGUAAAUCUGACUGCAAUUCAUCUAAUGUAGGCGCAGCUUCAUGAACGUCUGCCAAGGUUCUUAGUGAGGGCUUCCUCUAAGAUGCUUUCAGAUUUUUGAUUAUCUAGCAUAUAUAUGCAGUGAAGAUGUCUCUGAAUAGGAUACAUGGUGUUCAUGUUCUGUUAGAUAAUUUUAUUCUUGUGUAGUUUGAUUUAAAAGAUGAUAGAUCAGAAUGACAGAAUGUGAUUAGUUUUGCUUUUGCUGCUGCUACACAUGAUUUUCCUUUUGUUUUUGAUUGUUUCUUCUUCAGUUUCUUAAGGCUAGAACACUACAGUGAUUGAUUAUGCACCUGAAGGAUUAAUGAAGCUGCUUGGACUGAAUUUCUCUUUAAAAUACAUGGUGCUUGUUUGGGAUGAUUGGGCAAAAAUAGUUGGGAAUUGGUUUUUUAUUAUAUGCAAAGCUUCAAGCCUUGGGGUCUUGCUGACAUUAGUUGUUUCAAGUUCAGACCUUUUUCACCGCUGACUAUACUCUCUCAAGUUCAGGUCACGGUGGAUGGUUUGAGAGAGGAGGGAGGCAGAGCAGAGACAAACGGCGCAUUCCGUCAUGCAUGUGUGUGGAUUUGUAUCAUCCUACUACUGUGUUGCUUUGUUUUACAGUAAUAAAUAAAGAGAUGGAUCAGAUUUUCUUU